This 74-nucleotide ribosomal RNA is filed under the name Acacia melvillei. Its description in RNAcentral is "partial large subunit ribosomal RNA". It matches the Rfam family "Eukaryotic large subunit ribosomal RNA", at positions 1 to 72 of the family's 3401-position model. Lineage: Eukaryota; Viridiplantae; Streptophyta; Magnoliopsida; Fabales; Fabaceae. The record is from RNAcentral.
CGCGACCCCAGGUCAGGCGGGGCUACCCGCUGAGUUUAAGCAUAUCAAUAAGCGGAGGAAAAGAAACUAACGAG